RNAcentral lists this ribosomal RNA (564 nucleotides) under uncultured bacterium. RNAcentral describes it as "bacterial SSU rRNA". It matches the Rfam family "Bacterial small subunit ribosomal RNA", at positions 338 to 916 of the family's 1533-position model. The record is from RNAcentral.
CCUACGGGAGGCAGCAGUGGGGAAUAUUGCGCAAUGGGCGAAAGCCUGACGCAGCCACGCCGCGUGUGUGAUGAAGGCCCUCGGGUCGUAAAGCACUGUCGGGAGGAAAGAAGUUCUGACGGUACCUCCCAAGAAAGCACCGGCUAACUCCGUGCCAGCAGCCGCGGUAAUACGGAGGGUGCAAGCGUUGCUCGGAAUCACUGGGCGUAAAGCGUACGCAGGCGUCUCGUUAAGUCGGGUGUGAAAGCCCGGGGCUCAACCCCGGAACUGCAUUCGAAACUGGCGGGCUUGAAUACGGGAGAGGGAAGUGGAAUUCCUGGUGUAGAGGUGAAAUUCGUAGAUAUCAGGAGGAACACCUGUGGCGAAAGCGGCUUCCUGGCCCGAUAUUGACGCUCAUGUACGAAAGCGUGGGGAGCAAACAGGAUUAGAUACCCUGGUAGUCCACGCCGUAAACGAUGAGUGCUAGCUGCUGGGGAUGUCUACUGCCUCAGUGGCGCAGCUAACGCAUUAAGCACUCCGCCUGGGGAGUACGGCCGCAAGGCUAAAACUCAAAGGAAUUGACGG